This 109-nucleotide Y RNA is filed under the name Saimiri boliviensis boliviensis (Bolivian squirrel monkey). Its description in RNAcentral is "Y RNA (ENSSBOG00000012242.1)". It matches the Rfam family "Y RNA". Rfam says of the family: Y RNAs are components of the Ro ribonucleoprotein particle (Ro RNP), in association with Ro60 and La proteins. The Y RNAs and Ro60 and La proteins are well conserved, but the function of the Ro RNP is not known. In humans the RNA component can be one of four small RNAs -- hY1, hY3, hY4 and hY5. The record is from Rfam by way of RNAcentral. Lineage: Eukaryota; Metazoa; Chordata; Mammalia; Primates; Cebidae.
AGCUGGUCCAACGUUAAUGAGUUUUCUCAAUUCAGUGUUCACAGUCAGUUACAGAUCAGACUUGUUCUACUCUUCCCCCCUUCUCAGUACUGUACUUGACUGGUCUUAA